Non-coding RNA from Acanthosepion pharaonis, 78 nucleotides. The record is from the annotation of a GenBank genome assembly. NCBI's taxonomy places the organism in Eukaryota, Metazoa, Mollusca, Cephalopoda, Sepiida, Sepiidae.
UUGCGGCCACAUCACUGUUGAAACACCGGUUCCCGUGUGAUCACCGAAGUUAAGCAACAGCGAGCCUGGUCAGUACCU